UGGGGGAUAUUGCACAAUGGGCGAAAGCCUGAUGCAGCGACGCCGCGUGGGGGAUGAAGGCUUUCGGGUUGUAAACCUCUUUCGCUAUCGAACAAGGCCCGCUUAGGGUGGGUUGAGGGUAGGUGGAGAAGAAGCGCCGGCUAACUACGUGCCAGCAGCCGCGGUAAUACGUAGGGCGCGAGCGUUGUCCGGAAUUAUUGGGCGUAAAGGGCUUGUAGGCGGCUUGUUGCGCCUGCUGUGAAAACGCGGGGCUUAACUUCGCGCGUGCAGUGGGUACGGGCAGGAUUGAGUGUGGUAGGGGUGACUGGAAUUCCAGGUGUAGCGGUGGAAUACACAGAUAUCUGGAGGAACACCGAUGGCGAAGGCAGGUCACUGGGCCAUUACUGACGCUGAGGAGCGAAAGCAUGGGUAGCGAACAGG
RNAcentral lists this ribosomal RNA (420 nucleotides) under bacterium. RNAcentral describes it as "partial 16S ribosomal RNA". It matches the Rfam family "Bacterial small subunit ribosomal RNA", at positions 355 to 776 of the family's 1533-position model. The record is from RNAcentral.